CCGGUUCCGCUUGACGUGCGGUAAACCUGGUUCUCAAUGUUAGAAUGGAAAAUCAUGAAUCAAUUAUGUAUAUUUCUGUGCUUUUCUUUUAGAGCAGGUUGGUGUGCCGUGGAGACAACAACCAGAGUUAUGUAUGUGAAUCAGACCACUGCUGUGGAGAGUCUCAGUGCUGCAGCUACUACUAUGAGCUCUGGUGGUUCUGGUUGGUGUGGACUCUCAUCAUCAUAUUAAUGUGCUGCUGUGUGUCUCAGCACCGGCGCUACAAGCAGAGCUUCCAGCAGCAGAGGAGACAGAAUGAGAUCAACCUCAUUGUAUACAGAGAGGCCCACAACAACAGACAGCAUCUCCCCCUCUAUCUCAGAUUCCUGCCUGACUACAUGCUGCCAACCUAUGAGGAGGUAGUUGACAGCACUGCCACUCCUCCCCCUCCCUACAGUCCCCCUCCAGUUAGCCUCUCUGUCCACCCAGCACCCUGACUGCCCUCGUCCUUCCCCCAGACCACCACCACAUACCCAGACACAACCCCCACUGCGGCUCCCCGUGUCUACACCGGGGGAGCAUGGCAAUGGUUUCCCUGACAACAAUAACUCGCCGUUGGGCAGGUAACUGUGCUUUACAGGCGACUCGGCAAUCGAGAUGUGUGAUAACCAGCAACUCUGGGAGGGAGGAGGAAGACACAUGCUGGGAAGGGAGGAGGAAGAAAACAUCUGUGAUAGAUGCAGACCCCAGAUUCAGAUCCACACAGACACCAAUAUACACACAGAAAAUAGAGACUCAGAGUUGAUCCCCCAAACCUGUGAGUGAGAGGUGUGUGUGUGUGCCUGUGAAUGUGUCCCUCCUUAGAAGAAAGUAGCACAAUGCUUGCAUCACAAUGUGCAUUCCUCUGUAAUGCAGCCGUGCCAUAUGUAGCCAUAUUUUAAUGUGGUGAUGCACUGACUCUAAAAGCCUGGAGUCUCACUGCUGUGCCACACAAAGGCCAGUAGAUUAUAGAGUUCCUGUACAGUUCUAAAUAUGAAUUUAUGCCAUGUCGAACUGAAUAGAAACUAAAAGCGGGUUGAGAGCUUUGCUGGAGGUACAAAUUGGUUUCAUAGAACCGCUUUCAACACUGUAGACUUCCUCAUUGGUUUUGGGUCGAAUUCAGGCAUAACAGCGGCCUCUUGUGUAGAUAUAUAUAUAUAUAUAUAAUCGUUGAUUUAUUCAGACAAGACAUAAAUGACUAAAUGAGAUACACAGUCUAACAUCAACAUAUGAUGUAGGAAUAUACACAACCAGAAUGAACAAAGCAAGAGAGAUGCGCCAAGAAGGAUUACAAGGUAUAUUCUUAUUUUUCAUUUUUAGAUUAGCAUGGAGCAUCAUCGUCUGACCUCAUGUUAAAGAGACACCACGUUUAUUGCACAAAAACUCACACACCCAAUGCAGUGCGGAGGUUAAUGUUUGAAAUGGUGAAUAUGGCCUCCCAGAGGCCAUGAUUGUACUUCCGAUGUGGUUUUAUUUAUUAUUUAUUAUUUAUUUAUAUAUAACAAUAAUUCUCUAAAGAAAAGUAAAAGAACAUUGAAGUAAUAUAUAUAUAAAAACAUUCACUACACAUUAAUUGAGUUUCAAACGUUAAAAUAAAUCAAAUAAGGUCAGGGGUUACAGUUGUAUAAACAUAUGGUAGUGUUGUAAGAAUACAAUGUUUAAAAAAAAAAGUUUUUGACUAAUUCUAGAGAUUUUAUAAAAUAUUGUAUUUCAAGUAAAAAUAUAUUGCAUUUGGGAACAGAUUUCCAAUAUGUGUUUUUGUGAAUACAACAUUUACCAGAGAGAAUGAAGAAAUUCAUGACUAAUUCAGCUGUUUUUUUUUUCAUUUGAGUAAUAACAAUAACAACAUUACAUCUUUCAU
Molecule: long non-coding RNA, 1879 nt
Organism: Oncorhynchus keta (chum salmon)
Lineage: Eukaryota; Metazoa; Chordata; Actinopteri; Salmoniformes; Salmonidae
Exons: 3
Source: RefSeq, a predicted model, not a curated record